Molecule: ribosomal RNA, 444 nt
Filed under: uncultured bacterium
Lineage: Bacteria
Description: bacterial SSU rRNA
Rfam family: Bacterial small subunit ribosomal RNA
Source: RNAcentral
CCUACGGGGGGCUGCAGUAACGAAUAUUGGGCAAUGGGCGAAAGCCUGACCCAGCGACGCCGCGUGUAGGAUGAAGUCCUUCGGGAUGUAAACUACUGUCAGGGACUAGAAAGUUUCGAUUGAUCGGUCCCAGAGGAAGUCACGGCUAACUUCGUGCCAGCAGCCGCGGUAAUACGAAGGUGGCAAGCGUUGUUCGGAAUCACUGGGCUUAAAGGGCGCGUAGGCGGAUCAGAAAGUGUCUUGUGAAAUACCCCGGCUUAACCGGGGAAUGGCUCGGCAAACUACUGGUCUUGAGGCAAGUAGGGGUGUGUGGAACUCUUGGUGGAGCGGUGGAAUGCGUAGAUAUCAAGAGGAACGCCGAAGGUGAAGACAGCACACUGGACUUGCCCUGACGCUGAGGCGCGAAAGCGUGGGGAGCAAACAGGAUUAGAUACCCCUGUAGUC